This 540-nucleotide long non-coding RNA is filed under the name Bos taurus (domestic cattle). RNAcentral's name for it is "long non-coding RNA NONBTAT017106". The record is from RNAcentral. Lineage: Eukaryota; Metazoa; Chordata; Mammalia; Artiodactyla; Bovidae.
CCAGUUGUGUGUGUGGCUAUUUGCCUCUGCUCAUUCUGACAUGUAAGGUAUUUUAAUAUUAACUUGCCUUGGCAACUCAUGAUCACAAUGAAAGACAGUGUAGCAGGAUAUGACAUAUUGAUGCUCUUAAGCGCUGCUGAUCUUUAUAUUUUGUUUACCCCAAUAUGAAAUUGUUUCCAAUAGCGACAUUUUUAGUCCCUGUUGACAGAUUUUUAAUCUGCAUUAUCAGCUCUCAGACCUUGUUUCUGUCAGUAUACCUUCUGAAAGCAAUGACCACUUAUUAGUGGCCUGUUUGUUUUGUGCUGAGAAACCAGUGGGCUCUUUUAGAAUGUAUAAACCGAGUAGGAAUUUAGAGUGCCAAAAUUGGCCUGAAAAUCUCUCUUCCAACUAAUAGUUAGCUUUUAGAAACUUUUUUGGGGGUGAGGAGGAUCCAAGCUUUGUACUGUUGCAUUAAAUUUGAGAUUUAAGUUUUAACAGGAUUUUUUUCAUUUUUAAUGACAUUUAUUGUUUUUUGUGUAUGUGUAGUUUUACAAGGAGUAG